This 354-nucleotide unclassified non-coding RNA is filed under the name soil metagenome. RNAcentral's name for it is "partial contains 5.8S ribosomal RNA, internal transcribed spacer 2, and large subunit ribosomal RNA". The stretch from base 1 to 120 matches the Rfam family "5.8S ribosomal RNA", at positions 35 to 154 of the family's 154-position model. The record is from RNAcentral.
GAUGAAGAACGCAGCGAAACGCGAUAUGUAAUGUGAAUUGCAGAAUUCAGUGAAUCAUCGAAUCUUUGAACGCACAUGGCGCCUUCCAGUAUCCUGGGAGGCAUGCCUGUCCGAGCGUCGUUUCAACCCUCGAGCCCCCGUGGCCCGGCGUUGGGGAUCUGCCCAGGCAGUCCCCGAAAACCAGUGGCGGACCCGUUACAGGCCCUUCCCUUGCGUAGUAGCAUUCGCCUCGCAUCGGGAGCCGGCGGGCUUCCAGCCUCUAAACCCCCAGCAAGUCCGCCCCGGCGGCACCAAGGUUGACCUCGGAUCAGGUAGGAAUACCCGCUGAACUUAAGCAUAUCAAUAAGCGGAGGA